GUGGAUUAGAUACCCGAGUAGUCCACGCCGUAAACGAUGGAUACUAGCUGUUGGAAGCAAUUUCAGUGGCUAAGCGAAAGUGAUAAGUAUCCCACCUGGGGAGUACGUUCGCAAGAAUGAAACUCAAAGGAAUUGACGGGGGCCCGCACAAGCGGUGGAGCAUGUGGUUUAAUUCGAUGAUACGCGAGGAACCUUACCAAGGCUUAAAUGUAGUUUGACCGGUUUGGAAACAGAUCUUUCGCAAGACAAAUUACAAGGUGCUGCAUGGUCGUCGUCAGCU
Molecule: ribosomal RNA, 280 nt
Filed under: uncultured bacterium
Lineage: Bacteria
Description: partial 16S ribosomal RNA
Rfam family: Bacterial small subunit ribosomal RNA
Source: RNAcentral